AUUGAACGCUGGCGGCAUGCUUUACACAUGCAAGUCGAACGGCAGCACGGGGGCAACCCUGGUGGCGAGUGGCGAACGGGUGAGUAACACAUCGGAACGUGCCCAGUUGUGGGGGAUAACCUAUCGAAAGGUAGGCUAAUACCGCAUGAGCUCGUGAGAGGAAAGCGGGGGACUCGCAAGGGCCUCGCGCGACUGGAGCGGCCGAUGUCCGAUUAGCUAGUUGGUGAGGUAAAGGCUUACCAAGGCGACGAUCGGUAGCUGGUCUGAGAGGAUGAUCAGCCACACUGGGACUGAGACACGGCCCAGACUCCUACGGGUGGCAG
This 323-nucleotide ribosomal RNA is filed under the name uncultured Pseudomonadota bacterium. RNAcentral's name for it is "bacterial SSU rRNA". It matches the Rfam family "Bacterial small subunit ribosomal RNA", at positions 29 to 351 of the family's 1533-position model. The record is from RNAcentral. Lineage: Bacteria; Pseudomonadati; Pseudomonadota.